ACACAUAUGAUGACAGGGACAGUACGAAAUAAUUAAUCUACACAAGCGAAUCAGGGAUGGUGGAAGCCUGAGUAAGAUAUUAUUUUGGAAGAUCACCCUCGAGUACCUCUAUUGAUUUUAUUUGUAAAUAGAGGCGUUUCAUUCACGUUACGAAUGCUAGAGUGGAUUUUUAAAGACGUCGUAUGUCUUUUAAUCUAUAAGGGUGGUACCGCGAGACCUUCUCGUCCCUUCU
This 232-nucleotide non-coding RNA is filed under the name Pontibacillus chungwhensis. RNAcentral's name for it is "T-box sequence". It matches the Rfam family "T-box leader". From Rfam's summary of the family: Uncharged tRNA acts as the effector for transcription antitermination of genes in the T-box leader family. Lineage: Bacteria; Bacillati; Bacillota; Bacilli; Caryophanales; Bacillaceae. The record is from RNAcentral.